Molecule: transfer RNA, 72 nt
Filed under: Reclinomonas americana
Lineage: Eukaryota; Jakobea; Jakobida; Histionidae
Also listed under: 2 other names
Description: tRNA-Val
Rfam family: tRNA
About the family: Transfer RNA (tRNA) molecules are approximately 80 nucleotides in length.
Source: RNAcentral
GGGUGGUUAGCUCAGUGGUAGAGCACCUCGCUUACAACGAGAGGGUCAGCGGUUCAAAUCCGUUACUACUCA